UAUUAAAAAUUUCAUCAAAAUCUACUGUAAAAAAAUAGCAUGGCUGAUAGAAUAACUAAACAAUUACACAUGGUAUGCCACAUGUACAUCUGACGUGACCAAAUUUUAACAAUAGAAAUGGAUAGAAAUUUUAACA
Molecule: microRNA precursor, 136 nt
Filed under: Gossypium hirsutum (cotton)
Lineage: Eukaryota; Viridiplantae; Streptophyta; Magnoliopsida; Malvales; Malvaceae
Description: MIR7502 microRNA precursor family
Rfam family: MIR7502 microRNA precursor family
Source: Rfam by way of RNAcentral